Bos taurus (domestic cattle) is the source of this 996-nucleotide long non-coding RNA. NCBI's taxonomy places the organism in Eukaryota, Metazoa, Chordata, Mammalia, Artiodactyla, Bovidae. The record is from Ensembl.
GUAAGGACGUCCGCCCAUCACCAGCUUCGAGGAAUCUCCUCAGCCCUCUGCAGCUUCUGGAGAACAAGACAGCGCCUGAGGGUCGUCAGGGGCCAAGGCACUCACAAGGGGAAGGAGGAAAGGAGGAAGGAAAGAAGCAAGGGAAAGACGUGCCUGAACUGAGCUGGCGCAGAAAGAGCUGCAGAUGACGCCUCAGGGAGUUUCCGGGGACCAUGCGUAGACCCAAGCUUGCUUGUCUUCUUCGGGCUGCCAUGAAGGUCACGUAGCAGUCUGUCUGCGCAGCAUGAUGGGGUCAACAUCCAAACUCUAGUUCUCAUCUCUCAUUUCCUGAAGACCAGCCAGCAUCCUACUUGCACUGAGGACUUCUGUUGGUACUAAUUGGCUAGAGGGAGAUUCCCGGAUUGAUCCAGAACAUCCUUUCCAUGCUAAGGCAGAAGGACUUGGAGUAAGAAGCUGCAUUGAGGCAUGGACGAGUAGAAGAUAGGAAUGAACGAUGAAGAUCAGCCACUGGGACUGACUCGGUUGCAAAGGAUGUGAGCAAACAGUCCUGCUAGGGUUAAGCUGCCGGAGGCCACACUAGCUAUGGCGGAGACCAUAUCUCUCGAUUCACCUGUAUUUACCAGUACCUGGUGCAACAAAGUGCCAUUACAUACCUGAUUGAAUAAAUGAAUGACUGAACGAAGAUGGUAAUGGAGUUCCUAGGACAGUGUCUGACAUAUUCAGAAAGGAAACAAAUACAUGUGACCAGCUCUUUCAUCUUAGCUAUGGAACCUCUCACUCCAACUGGAGUCGAUUUUGACAACUGCUGGCCAACAGCAACACUCCGUGUCAACGGUGUUCUCUUUUUUGUUGGUAAAUGUGUUCAAGAUUCCAGGGCCAUCCUCACUCCUCCUGGUUCUGAAAAAUUGCAUGACACACUCAGUAUGUGUGAGAUCCUAAUCCCAAGAACUCCUGUGAUUUGGGGAGCGAAACUGGGACAAGUAGGAUUUGUGAGAG